GACGAACGCUGGCGGCGUGCUUAACACAUGCAAGUCGAACGAAGAGCGAUGGAAGCUUGCUUCUAUCAAUCUUAGUGGCGAACGGGUGAGUAACGCGUAAUCAACCUGCCCUUCAGAGGGGGACAACAGUUGGAAACGACUGCUAAUACCGCAUACGAUCUGACCUCGGCAUCGAGGAUAGAUGAAAGGUGGCCUCUACAUGUAAGCUAUCACUGAAGGAGGGGAUUGCGUCUGAUUAGCUAGUUGGAGGGGUAACGGCCCACCAAGGCGAUGAUCAGUAGCCGGUCUGAGAGGAUGAACGGCCACAUUGGGACUGAGACACGGCCCAGACUCCUACGGGAGGCAGCAGUGGGGAAUCUUCCGCAAUGGACGAAAGUCUGACGGAGCAACGCCGCGUGAGUGAUGACGGCCUUCGGGUUGUAAAGCUCUGUUAAUCGGGACGAAAGGCCUUUUUGCGAAUAGUGAGAGGGAUUGACGGUACCGGAAGAGAAAGCCACGGCUAACUACGUG
This 510-nucleotide ribosomal RNA is filed under the name uncultured bacterium. RNAcentral's name for it is "partial 16S ribosomal RNA". It matches the Rfam family "Bacterial small subunit ribosomal RNA", at positions 28 to 507 of the family's 1533-position model. The record is from RNAcentral.